UACGUAGGGGGCAAGCGUUGUCCGGAAUGACUGGGCGUAAAGGGAGUGUAGGCGGCUUAAUAAGUUAGAUGUGAAAUCCCGCGGCUCAACCGCGGAACUGCAUCUAAAACUGUUGAGCUGGAGUGCAGGAGAGGUGAGUGGAAUUCCUAGUGUAGCGGUGGAAUGCGUAGAUAUUAGGAGGAACACCAGAGGCGAAGGCGACUCACUGGACUGUAACUGACGCUGAGGCUCGAAAGCGUGGGGAGCAAACAGG
RNAcentral lists this ribosomal RNA (253 nucleotides) under uncultured bacterium. RNAcentral's name for it is "partial 16S ribosomal RNA". It matches the Rfam family "Bacterial small subunit ribosomal RNA", at positions 524 to 776 of the family's 1533-position model. The record is from RNAcentral.